UUAAGCGACUAAGCGUACACGGUGGAUGCCCUGGCAGUCAGAGGCGAUGAAGGACGUGCUAAUCUGCGAUAAGCGUCGGUAAGGUGAUAUGAACCGUUAUAACCGGCGAUUUCCGAAUGGGGAAACCCAGUGUGAUUCGUCACACUAUCAUUAACUGAAUCCAUAGGUUAAUGAGGCGAACCGGGGGAACUGAAACAUCUAAGUACCCCGAGGAAAAGAAAUCAACCGAGAUUCCCCCAGUAGCGGCGAGCGAACGGGGAGCAGCCCAGAGCCUGAAUCAGUGUGUGUGUUAGUGGAAGCGUCUGGAAAGGCGUGCGAUACAGGGUGACAGCCCCGUACACAAAAAUGCACAUACUGUGAGCUCGAUGAGUAGGGCGGGACACGUGGUAUCCUGUCUGAAUAUGGGGGGACCAUCCUCCAAGGCUAAAUACUCCUGACUGACCGAUAGUGAACCAGUACCGUGAGGGAAAGGCGAAAAGAACCCCGGCGAGGGGAGUGAAAAAGAACCUGAAACCGUGUACGUACAAGCAGUGGGAGCACGCUUAGGCGUGUGACUGCGUACCUUUUGUAUAAUGGGUCAGCGACUUAUAUUCUGUAGCAAGGUUAACCGAAUAGGGGAGCCGAAGGGAAACCGAGUCUUAACUGGGCGUUAAGUUGCAGGGUAUAGACCCGAAACCCGGUGAUCUAGCCAUGGGCAGGUUGAAGGUUGGGUAACACUAACUGGAGGACCGAACCGACUAAUGUUGAAAAAUUAGCGGAUGACUUGUGGCUGGGGGUGAAAGGCCAAUCAAACCGGGAGAUAGCUGGUUCUCCCCGAAAGCUAUUUAGGUAGCGCCUCGUGAAUUCAUCUCCGGGGGUAGAGCACUGUUUCGGCAAGGGGGUCAUCCCGACUUACCAACCCGAUGCAAACUGCGAAUACCGGAGAAUGUUAUCACGGGAGACACACGGCGGGUGCUAACGUCCGUCGUGAAGAGGGAAACAACCCAGACCGCCAGCUAAGGUCCCAAAGUCAUGGUUAAGUGGGAAACGAUGUGGGAAGGCCCAGACAGCCAGGAUGUUGGCUUAGAAGCAGCCAUCAUUUAAAGAAAGCGUAAUAGCUCACUGGUCGAGUCGGCCUGCGCGGAAGAUGUAACGGGGCUAAACCAUGCACCGAAGCUGCGGCAGCGACGCUUAUGCGUUGUUGGGUAGGGGAGCGUUCUGUAAGCCUGCGAAGGUGUGCUGUGAGGCAUGCUGGAGGUAUCAGAAGUGCGAAUGCUGACAUAAGUAACGAUAAAGCGGGUGAAAAGCCCGCUCGCCGGAAGACCAAGGGUUCCUGUCCAACGUUAAUCGGGGCAGGGUGAGUCGACCCCUAAGGCGAGGCCGAAAGGCGUAGUCGAUGGGAAACAGGUUAAUAUUCCUGUACUUGGUGUUACUGCGAAGGGGGGACGGAGAAGGCUAUGUUGGCCGGGCGACGGUUGUCCCGGUUUAAGCGUGUAGGCUGGUUUUCCAGGCAAAUCCGGAAAAUCAAGGCUGAGGCGUGAUGACGAGGCACUACGGUGCUGAAGCAACAAAUGCCCUGCUUCCAGGAAAAGCCUCUAAGCAUCAGGUAACAUCAAAUCGUACCCCAAACCGACACAGGUGGUCAGGUAGAGAAUACCAAGGCGCUUGAGAGAACUCGGGUGAAGGAACUAGGCAAAAUGGUGCCGUAACUUCGGGAGAAGGCACGCUGAUAUGUAGGUGAAGUCCCUCGCGGAUGGAGCUGAAAUCAGUCGAAGAUACCAGCUGGCUGCAACUGUUUAUUAAAAACACAGCACUGUGCAAACACGAAAGUGGACGUAUACGGUGUGACGCCUGCCCGGUGCCGGAAGGUUAAUUGAUGGGGUUAGCGCAAGCGAAGCUCUUGAUCGAAGCCCCGGUAAACGGCGGCCGUAACUAUAACGGUCCUAAGGUAGCGAAAUUCCUUGUCGGGUAAGUUCCGACCUGCACGAAUGGCGUAAUGAUGGCCAGGCUGUCUCCACCCGAGACUCAGUGAAAUUGAACUCGCUGUGAAGAUGCAGUGUACCCGCGGCAAGACGGAAAGACCCCGUGAACCUUUACUAUAGCUUGACACUGAACAUUGAGCCUUGAUGUGUAGGAUAGGUGGGAGGCUUUGAAGUGUGGACGCCAGUCUGCAUGGAGCCGACCUUGAAAUACCACCCUUUAAUGUUUGAUGUUCUAACGUUGACCCGUAAUCCGGGUUGCGGACAGUGUCUGGUGGGUAGUUUGACUGGGGCGGUCUCCUCCUAAAGAGUAACGGAGGAGCACGAAGGUUGGCUAAUCCUGGUCGGACAUCAGGAGGUUAGUGCAAUGGCAUAAGCCAGCUUGACUGCGAGCGUGACGGCGCGAGCAGGUGCGAAAGCAGGUCAUAGUGAUCCGGUGGUUCUGAAUGGAAGGGCCAUCGCUCAACGGAUAAAAGGUACUCCGGGGAUAACAGGCUGAUACCGCCCAAGAGUUCAUAUCGACGGCGGUGUUUGGCACCUCGAUGUCGGCUCAUCACAUCCUGGGGCUGAAGUAGGUCCCAAGGGUAUGGCUGUUCGCCAUUUAAAGUGGUACGCGAGCUGGGUUUAGAACGUCGUGAGACAGUUCGGUCCCUAUCUGCCGUGGGCGCUGGAGAAUUGAGGGGGGCUGCUCCUAGUACGAGAGGACCGGAGUGGACGCAUCACUGGUGUUCGGGUUGUCAUGCCAAUGGCACUGCCCGGUAGCUAAAUGCGGAAGAGAUAAGUGCUGAAAGCAUCUAAGCACGAAACUUGCCCCGAGAUGAGUUCUCCCUGACUCCUUGAGAGUCCUGAAGGAACGUUGAAGACGACGACGUUGAUAGGCCGGGUGUGUAAGCGCAGCGAUGCGUUGAGCUAACCGGUACUAAUGAACCGUGAGGCUUAACCUU
This 2902-nucleotide ribosomal RNA is filed under the name Escherichia coli 95.0941. RNAcentral's name for it is "bacterial LSU rRNA". It matches the Rfam family "Bacterial large subunit ribosomal RNA". The record is from RNAcentral. Lineage: Bacteria; Pseudomonadati; Pseudomonadota; Gammaproteobacteria; Enterobacterales; Enterobacteriaceae.